CAAAUUUUUAAAGAUUUUGCGCGUUUAAGAAAAACGGGAGACGGAUACAUUGGUCGUCUUGUAAAUUACUUAAUAAAUUAAUUAAAAUACAUAAAAAAUAAUUAAUCAGCCACAGUGAUUUAACACCGUAGGAAUUUUACGGUGUUAAAAUAACGAGAAGUUAGUAUUAAUACGCGUAGCCAACGAUAAAUCGUAACAUCGAAUGUUACUGUAUACAAAUUUUCGAAAUAAACGAAAAUCGAAGAACAAUUCGCGAUUGAAAUAUUCCGCUUUCUGGAACGCCAUUUGGACGAAUCGAAACGAGUGGAAACGAAUCGAAACGAGUUGAAACGAAUCGAGUUAGGGCAACGUGCCACCGACUUCCGUUCAAGUCGUCGCACGAGAAGCAUCAGGUAAACACGCGUCGUCAGAAUAAUCGCAAGAAGAUGUUCGAUCGAAGGAUAACGCAGGAUGUUCUCGUGUCAUCAUAUCAAUUAUUGGUCAAAUUCGAUCUUCAUAAAGAUACAUGAAGCGAUAUUCGAAAAAAAAAGAGGCGAUUCGACACGAUGCUCGAAAAUGAUAGAAAGAUCGUCGUUGGAAGUAUAGCAAUAGCUAUCAUUUCGAUAUGUUGUCUGGCAUCAUUUUUGAGCUAAAACGACGAAAGGACAUAUACGUCAGACAACCAUGAAGAUAGAACACGGAGGUUCAUCCGAGCUUUGUUACUAGCUAGGAAGUAAGUAACACAAGAGGAAAUUAAAAGGCCGCGCCAGCAUUAAAAAUUAAACGUAGAAUUCAUUUUACAAAUGUUUUGUAACUGGAUUCGAGCUUGUUGCCAAAUGAGGAUAAUGGAAAUUGAUCGAUGAUCGAGAAACUAAAAACGUGACUUCGCUUAAGAAUCGAAAAUCUUAGCAAAGAUUAUCGAUUCUAACGAGUCCCUUUCGUUUUUCUCGACUUUUCGAUUAGUUUUCAUUCAUAGAUUCAUUUAAAUAUAAAUUAGAAUUUAAUCUCGCGAGGAAGAUACUUCUGACGAUGUCGCAAUUAUCGGAAUCGAUUUUUGUAUAAGAGUUUUGUUAAAGAUAUGUGUUCUCACCUUAGUUUCGCGUAAACCUUUUCUUGUAAGCUUAGAAAAUAGGUGAUAAAUGUAUAAUUUGUUUGUAAGGACCUGCGAAUUUAGAUAUAAUUAGGUAAAUAUAAUUAAAAUAAUUAUUACGUCAAAUUUGUCUUUUGAUGAAAAAUUUUGCAUACAUCUCGAAUUAAUUUUCAUAAAUUAUGCAUUAUUUGGAAUGAAAUAUGAACGCUGUAUAUUGUAAAGGUACCUAGGAACUGUGAUCACAUUAUGUUAAAUUUUGUAAUUUUAAAUUUGUAAUUUUAAACAAUCAAUUAUUCUAAUUGAUGUAAGUUGUAUUUCGGCGGGCAACCGUUUAGAUUUACCAACCACAUCUUAUGAUAUAAUUUCAUUGUUUAAAUAUAUACAAUUUCAAAUAAUUUGAAUAUAUUAACAGCAUAAUAAUUGUUCAAAUUUUAAUAAGCAGAAAAUUAAUCUUUCAUAUUUAAUUAAGAUAUACAACGUCUGUAUGUAUAGGUAGAAACAAAUAAUACCAAGGUUCCUUAAAUCACGAUUCUUUUUUACUAAGUUAAAUCGUGGUUCUUUUUUUAUACUUUUUGAAUCAUUGUUUUAUAUGUUUUUAUAAUUUGAUUGUUAGCAGACUCUUAACAUUAUUCGACUAUUAUCUAGUUCGACUUUUACGACUUUUACUCUUUGAACGUGAUUUUUGGUUAAUCCGAAACCAUUGUUUGGUUCUAUCCCCUUUUUAAGUUUCACCAAAUGUUUAUUCGCAUAUUGUAAACUUCAAAAAUAUCUUCCUUGUAUACAUUGUUGUACUCACCUUACGAAGAGGCAAAGUUCUUAUAACACUAUAGACUCCUUAAAAGAUUGUUAAAUAAUUGGUAGCACAAGUUGAAAUAUUAUAUAUAUAGAUAUAUGUGUGUGUCAUUCGUAUGAUUGGCUAACCUUUCUAUUUAUAUGUUAUAUUUCUAUGUUGAUAUAAUUUUUAUAUUGCAUCUAUAUUUAACAUUAUAAGAAAUACAUCCAAAUUCAACUGAAA
Molecule: long non-coding RNA, 2084 nt
Organism: Bombus huntii
Lineage: Eukaryota; Metazoa; Arthropoda; Insecta; Hymenoptera; Apidae
Exons: 3
Source: RefSeq, a predicted model, not a curated record